This 723-nucleotide unclassified non-coding RNA is filed under the name Hevea brasiliensis (rubber tree). Lineage: Eukaryota; Viridiplantae; Streptophyta; Magnoliopsida; Malpighiales; Euphorbiaceae. The record is from RNAcentral.
CAGCUCAUCGUCUUUCUUUAUCUACUUGACAAUGACACUUCAUGGAUGAUACUUGCAAGUUCUGGAAUUGGUUGCUGUAUUGAGUUUUGGAAAAUAGGGAAAGCCAUGCACAUAGAGAUUGAUAGAAGUGGAAAGAUACCUAUGUUGAAGUUCCGAGAUCGUGAGUCUUAUGCAGGAAAUAAGACAAAGGAAUAUGAUGACCUUGCAAUGAAGUAUUUGUCUUAUGUGCUCUUCUUUCUUGUUGCAUGCUCUUCUGUUUACUCGCUCAUGUAUGAGCGCCACAAGAGCUGGUAUUCUUGGAUUCUCUCUUCACUCACAAGCUGUGUGUACAUGUUUGGUUUUAUUAUGAUGUGCCCUCAGCUGUUCAUAAAUUAUAAGUUGAAAUCUGUGGCUCAUCUACCAUGGAGGCAGAUGACGUACAAGUUCCUGAAUACCAUAAUUGAUGAUCUCUUUGCAUUUGUCAUAAAAAUGCCAACACUACAUCGGCUUUCUGUCUUCCGUGAUGAUGUCAUAUUUUUGAUAUAUCUAUACCAGCGAUGGAUUUAUCCAGUGGACAGUUCACGUAUAAAUGAAUUUGGUUUUGGUGGUGAGGAUGAGCAGGUCGCCAGUGCGGAUGUAAUUCCUGCAAAACCUGAAGAGAAGAAAACCAAUUGAGUUGGGUUUUUGUCGAUCUUUUGAAACUAAAUUGCAGAAUAUAACUGUAAAAUUCAGAAACCUUUUUUU